AGUGAAGGAGCCGGGCGGCCACUACAAUGCAGCCCGGAGCCGUGGCCCCUUUAGGUGAACCAGUCGCCAAGAGUGUUCCAGGAUGCCCGGCGGGCAGCGUAUGGGGCGGAGCCGGUUAACCUAGCACUGCGGCCGCCAGUGAGUGCAGUGCGGCGCCUUGCAGUGAGGCGCGGUGCUGCUUUGGCGGGCCUCGAGCCCCGCGCACUGCACAUCCGGGUCCUGACGCGGCAGAGAGAGAUCGAGCUUUGCACCCACUGGCUGGCCCCAGGCGGAGAAAUGUGGGACCUCCGGAGCUCCUGCAUCCCUCAACCUUGCGUGCGACAUCCUCCACCCCGCUGCUAUCUGCCUCCUCAGCCACAGUAACCUUUUGGAAUCUUCAGUAACGGGAACCUAGUCCUGCUCAAGAGCUCUCUGUGGCUCCCCACUGCCCACAGGCAGCGGAGCUCAAAUUUUCUACCUGUUCCAGAGAAAGAGGAAAGGAGAGAGAAAAACAUCAAUGUGAGAAGCACCAAUUGGUUGCCUCCAGCACUCACCCCAACCAGGGAUCGAACCUGCAACCUAGAUAUGUGCCCUGACUGGGAAUGGAACUUGCAACCUUUCAGUUAUGGGACGACACUCCAAACAACUGAGCCACACUGGCAAGGGCAAGAGAUCCUGAACCAGGUUGUGGCUGCUUUUGCACUCUGCUGAAGUGUCGCGCCUUCCCCAGGCUUCUGCCGAAUGCGGGUCUGGGGAUGGCGGUGGGGAGAGGUCCUCAGCCAACAUCUGACUCCUUCCCUGUGGCAGUGGGCCUGAACACCUCUCCAUGAAGGGUAAUUGUGUGUGGUGGGGCGAGACUUAAAUUUCCCUAUUCCCCCUAAAUUUUCCCCCGGCUUCUGCAAUUUACACUAA
This is a long non-coding RNA of Artibeus jamaicensis (Jamaican fruit-eating bat), 891 nucleotides long. RefSeq lists it as uncharacterized. Lineage: Eukaryota; Metazoa; Chordata; Mammalia; Chiroptera; Phyllostomidae. The record is from RefSeq and is a predicted model, not a curated record. The transcript has 3 exons.